UUUCUUGAACCUGCCAGGAGUCAUCCCAUGACCACAAAGGUUGUUUUCUAAGAGUGAGGCUUAACCAUUGCCUCCAAUAUGCCGAUUCCUGUGAUUUUCCCAAAUGAAGGAAACUCGAUUGCAUAAUUUACGGUAGUAGGGGCCCGAGUUUGCACUCUCCCCCA
Molecule: small nuclear RNA, 164 nt
Filed under: Callithrix jacchus (white-tufted-ear marmoset)
Lineage: Eukaryota; Metazoa; Chordata; Mammalia; Primates; Cebidae
Description: U1 spliceosomal RNA (ENSCJAG00000023972.3)
Rfam family: U1 spliceosomal RNA
About the family: U1 is a small nuclear RNA (snRNA) component of the spliceosome (involved in pre-mRNA splicing). Its 5' end forms complementary base pairs with the 5' splice junction, thus defining the 5' donor site of an intron.
Source: RNAcentral